CUUCCCCCUUAGAGUUUGAUCCUGGCUCAGGAUGAACGCUAGCGGCAGGCUUAAUACAUGCAAGUCAAGGGGUAGCAAUACACCGGCGGACGGGUGCGUAACGCGUACACAACAUACCCUUAAGCGGGGGAUAGCAUUGGGAAACUGAUGGUAAUACCCCAUGGUGUUGGAUCAUGGCAUCAUGAUUCAACUAAAGGUUACACUUAAGGAUUGGUGUGCGUAUGAUUAGCUAGUUGGUAGGGUAACGGCCUACCAAGGCGAUGAUCAUUAGGGGGUGUGAGAGCAUGACCCCCCACACGGGUACUGAGGCACGGACCCGACUCCUACGGGAGGCAGCAGUAAGGAAUAUUGGACAAUGGUCGGAAGACUGAUCCAGCCAUGCCGCGUGAAGGACGAAGGCGCUCUGCGUUGUAAACUUCUUUUGGACAGGAACAAAAAGUCGGAUGCGUCCGGCCCUGAGGGUACUGUCAGAAUAAGCACCGGCUAACUCCGUGCCAGCAGCCGCGGUAAUACGGAGGGUGCAAGCGUUAUCCGGAAUCACUGGGUUUAAAGGGUGCGUAGGUGGCUUAAUAAGUCAGCUGUGAAAUGUCUGGGCUUAACCGAGGCAUUGCGGUUGAUACUGUUAGGCUUGAAUCAAGUUGAGGUGGCUAGAAUGUGACAUGUAGCGGUGAAAUGCAUAGAUAUGUCAUAGAAUACCAAUUGCGAAGGCAGGUUGCUAGACUUUGAUUGACACUGAGCACGAAAGGCGGUGGGAGAUCAACAGGAUUAGAUACCCUGUAGUCCACGCCCUAACGAUGCUUACUAGCUGUGUUUGGAAGUUAUUUCUGGGGCGGCCAAGCGAAGUCGAUAGUCAGCUAGCUGGAGGAGUUACGCCCGCAGAUGAAACUCAAAGUAAUUGACGGCGUUCGCCAGCGGUGAACCUGUGUCACUCGAUGAUCGCGAGCAAUCCUUUAA
Molecule: ribosomal RNA, 954 nt
Filed under: uncultured bacterium
Lineage: Bacteria
Description: bacterial SSU rRNA
Rfam family: Bacterial small subunit ribosomal RNA
Source: RNAcentral